Molecule: long non-coding RNA, 386 nt
Organism: Rhipicephalus microplus (southern cattle tick)
Lineage: Eukaryota; Metazoa; Arthropoda; Arachnida; Ixodida; Ixodidae
Source: RefSeq, a predicted model, not a curated record
AAACAAUGCCGCUCCUUUUGGUCAUCGUGAUUCUUGCUUGCAUGGUAUCUCACGUUGCUGAUGCAUGUGCAGACUGGAUAAAUGAAGUACCUAGAUUCUGCUGGCGUGGCCAGCGUUUAUAUCAACGAUAUUGCCCGGGCUUUGAAAACAAUUCACAGUACAUAUGUUUUCGAGGAAGUACCCUUGGAUGCGCGUGCAGCACACUUUUUCGAGCAAUGGAUGGAAAAUGCGUGCGCUAUGAAGACUGUGCGGCGCACGAGCACAUAGGUGCAGAUAUAAGAAGUGGAACACUCAUGAGGAGAGUCGGAAAUGCACCCUCUAAAGCAUCUGCGAAGGCGACUGUUGCAGCAACCAGCAAUGGGGCUGCACCUACGGGUAAUAUAUAC